Molecule: long non-coding RNA, 300 nt
Filed under: Gossypium barbadense (sea-island cotton)
Lineage: Eukaryota; Viridiplantae; Streptophyta; Magnoliopsida; Malvales; Malvaceae
Description: long non-coding RNA (GBAR_LNC001427)
Source: RNAcentral
AAUAUUGAAGGUCAAAUUUGUUAUUACAUAUAUUUUUUUAAUGUAAAUACUGGUUAAAUUUGGAGCAUAGGUUUUAAAUUUUCUAUUAGUGUUAACUUUUCCUCUUCCGUUGCCUGCAAAAUAUAUAAAAAAAAAAUAUGAAAAAAAUUCAAAAUAUAUAUAAUUCAUAGAAAUUUUAAAAAAUAAUAUAAAAUACAUGUGAAUGCUCAAAGAAUCAUAAGCCACAAAAACCCAAUAAGUAUUCUACUAAGCAGAAAUCACACAAAAAAUAAUAGACUAAAACAAUAAUCUUAAAAAGAG